GCUUCGUGGUCCAGUAGUGAGGGCACUUGCCUCUCAUACUGAAGUCCCGGCUUCGACCCCCGGUCGAGGAGCA
Molecule: non-coding RNA, 73 nt
Organism: Rhamnusium bicolor
Lineage: Eukaryota; Metazoa; Arthropoda; Insecta; Coleoptera; Cerambycidae
Source: the annotation of a GenBank genome assembly